This is a non-coding RNA of Callorhinus ursinus (northern fur seal), 94 nucleotides long. The record is from RefSeq and is a predicted model, not a curated record. NCBI's taxonomy places the organism in Eukaryota, Metazoa, Chordata, Mammalia, Carnivora, Otariidae.
GAAGCAGUGGGAGUGGAGAAGGAAUAAAGAAAUCUGUAACUGGCUGUGAUCAAUUAAUUGUAAACACCAUUGUAAAACAAUGACAUUAUCAAAA